Molecule: transfer RNA, 73 nt
Filed under: Cordylochernes scorpioides
Lineage: Eukaryota; Metazoa; Arthropoda; Arachnida; Pseudoscorpiones; Chernetidae
Description: tRNA-Thr
Source: RNAcentral
GUCCAGGGAUGGUAAUCGAACCCACAGUGUUCCGCUUACCGGGCAGAUGCCAUGUCCACUAGGCUACCCUGGA